GACGAACGCUGGCGGCGUGCCUAACACAUGCAAGUCGAGCGAGAAUUUCGCAGCGGAAUCCUUCGGGAGGAAGCAGUGAAAGGAAAGCGGCGGACGGGUGAGUAACGCGUGAGUAACCUGCCUUCAGGAGGGGGAUAACAUUCCGAAAGGGGUGCUAAUACCGCAUGACAUUGUUUUUCUGCAUGGAAGAACAAUCAAAGAUUUAUCGCCUGAAGAUGGACUCGCGUCUGAUUAGAUAGUUGGUGGGGUAAAGGCCUUACCAAGUCGACGAUCAGUAGCCGAACUGAGAGGUUGAUCGGCCACAUUGGGACUGAGACACGGCCCAGACUCCUACGGGAGGCAGCAGUGGGGGAUAUUGCGCAAUGGGGGGAACCCUGACGCAGCAACGCCGCGUGAAGGAAGAAGGUUUUCGGAUUGUAAACUCCUGUUGUUGAGGAAGAUAAUGACGGUACUCAACAAGGAAGUGACGGCUAACUACGUG
RNAcentral lists this ribosomal RNA (481 nucleotides) under uncultured bacterium. RNAcentral describes it as "bacterial SSU rRNA". It matches the Rfam family "Bacterial small subunit ribosomal RNA", at positions 28 to 507 of the family's 1533-position model. The record is from RNAcentral.